UGCAAAUAUGUUCUUAUAUCAUUACCUUUUCUUUUCUAUAUUUUAAAUUUCUCAAUAUGUUUGUUAUAUUACUGCGUGAAAUACUUGAGACCAAUAAGCUGGUAGGACCAAACUUUGAUGACUGGUAUAGAAAUUUGAGAAUUCUUCACAUGCAUGAAAAGCUCAUUGAUGUCAUCGAUAAUCUUGCAGAGAUAAUCCCGUCGGAGAAUGAUAUUCAAGGCACCAAGGUUAAUCUGAAACACUUGGAAGAAGGCAUUGCUAUUAAACACAUCAUUCUCGCUUCUAUGAGUUCUGAACUCCAGAGGAAACAUCAUUAUAAGGAUCCAACUGCAAUAAUUGAAUAUCUUAAGAAGAUGAUUGAUACACAAUUGGACAUUGAAAACUCUCUAGUUGCACCCCAUGUCAAUCAUAUGAUUGUUCUUACCGAAGAACAUGAGAAGUUGGGGUAAUAUCUCGGUAAAGAUCUUUCUGAAGAUUUGAUCUUGCAAUCAGUACAUGAUGCUGAAUGUUUUCACUGUAAGAAGAAAGGGCAUUGAAAGAGAAACUACAAGGAGCAUCUUGCAACUCUAAAGAAUAAGAAACAAGGUGAGACAUUAAUGAAAAAUAUUUUCAAGAUUUCUUUAGCUACUACUAAUUAUUCACUGUGGGUAUUAGAUACUGGUAGUGGUUAUAACAUAUGCAAUAUAUUUCAAGGGUUCAAGAUAAGUAGGAAGCUCAAGAAAGGAGAAGUUAAUCUACAAGUUAGAAAUGGUGCAAAAGUUGCGUCACAGUUGUAGGAUCAAAUUCUUUAAUAAUGCCUACGGGAAAAGUACUCAUGUUGGAUGAUUAUUAUUAAGUUGCUAAAUUUGUUUCGAACAUAAUUUCAGCUUCUAUGUUAGACAAACAUGAUUUUCGCAUUAUUAUAGGCAAUGGUAAUUUAUAUGUGAAUGGCUAUCUCCAACAUGGUGUUUAUAUCUUACCUAAUGUGAAUGCUAAUUUUAUUAAGCAUGUUUCAGGUCUUAAGAGGAAAAGAGAUGAUCAUGUAUAUUAUACAUACCUUUGGUAUUGUAGGCUUGGCCAUAUUGGACAGAAAAUAAUUAACAAGUUGUACAAGGAACGAUACCUUUACAACUAUGAUUUUGAAUCAUAUCCAACUUGUGAAUCUUGCCUCAACGGAAAAAUGACCAAAUCUCCAUUUACUAGAAUUGGAAAAAGAGCUUGUGAAUUAUUAGGACUAAUUUAUACAGAUGUUUGUGAGCCAAUGAAAAUUCAAGCAAGAGGUGGAUAUUCUUACUUCAUCACCUUCACUGAUGAUAUGUCAAGAUAUGGAUUUGUGUAUCUUAUGAAACAUAAGUCUGAAUCUUUUGAAAUGUUCAAAAGGUUCCAUAGUGAAUUUGAAAGGCAGACUGGUAAAAGUAUCAAAAUAUUAAGAUCCGAUAGAAGUGGAGAAUAUCUUAGUGAAAGUUUUGCCAGAUAUCUCAAAGUGAAUGGAAUUCUCUCACAGUGGAUACCUCCAGGAACACCACAACACAAUGGUGUGUCUGAAAGGAGAAAUAGAACCUUAUUAGAUAUGGUGAGAGCUAUGAUGGGGUUCACUAAUCUUCCAAUAAAUUUAUGGGGAUAUGCUUUGGAAGCAGCAACAUACUUACUUAAUAAAGUUCCCACUAAGUCAGUCCGGUAAGAUCUAUGAUGGGGUUUACUGAUCCUCCAAUAAAUUUAUGGGAUAUGUUUUGGAAGCAGAAACACACUUACUUAAAGUUCCUACUAAGUCAGUCUCUACAACACCAAAUGAGAUAUGGAAAGGAUGUAAGCCUGGCCUUAAACAUAAUAAAGUUUGGGGUUGUUCAGCUUAUGUUAAGAAACUGCAGUCUGGUAAAGUUGACUCAGGAUCUGAUAAGUGUAGGUUCAUUGGGUAUCCCAUGGGAAUAAUGAGAUAUUAUUUCUAUCACCCUUCUGACCAGGAAAUAUUUGUGGCAAGACAAGCAACCUUUUUAGAAAGGGAAUUUCUUUUAGAAGAAAAUUAUAAUGGAGAAACAGAACUUGAUGAAGUUCAAGAAAUUAAUGAAUCAACACAAGAUAAAUAUCAUGAGACCCAAGUUGAAGAACCUUUAUUGGAUGUUUUGAAGUUGCCAAGAAAGUUGCCAUCUUUAACAGUUGAAGUUCAAGAACUAAAAGAAGUUCAAGAACAAGUUAAUGAACUAGUUCCAAACCAAAUUGAACAAUAACCAAAUCCAGCACAAGGUGAACAGGUUGUACAAGUACAUCUUAGAAGGCCUACAUUAGAACGUUAUGUACAACCUAGAUUAAAUUUAAUGGUACAAGAUAAUGUAUCAAAUGAGGUUGAUCAUAAUGAUGAUGACCCUAAUACCUAUGAAGAGGCUAUACAAAGUUCUGAUUAUGAGACGUGGCAAAAGGCCAUGAAAUCCGAAAUGGUAUCCAUGAAGGAAAAUAAAGUAUGGACUUCAGUUGAUGCAAAAGGCCAUAGAAUCCGAAAUGGAAUCUAUGAAGGAAAAUAAAGUAUGGACUUUAGUAGAACCUUCAAAGUAUAUAAACCUAUAGGUUGUAAAUGGAUUUUUAAGAAAAAUAUUAGAGCAGACGGAAAAGUGGAGACCUACAAAGCCAGUCUUGUUGCCAAGGGAUAUCAUCAGAAAGAAGGAGUCGGCUACGACGAGACGUUCCCUCCCAUGGCAAUGAUCAUAUCUAUUCGCAUUUUUCUUGCUAUAGCAGCAUACUAUGAUUAUAAAAUAUGGAAAAUGUAUGUGAAACAACUUUCCUUAAUGGUGAGAUAGAAGAGGAUGUGUACAUGACACAACCUGAAGGUUUCACAUCAUCGUCAGAUCAUAAUAAAAUUUGUAAACUACAAAGAUCCAAUUAUGGAUUAAAGCAAACUUCUCGAAGUUGGAAUAUUCGCAAGCUACAAAGAUCCAUUUAUGGACCAAAGCAAGCUUCUCGAAGUUAGAAUAUUUGCUUUAACAAGACAAAUGAAAAGUUCAAUUUUGUUAGAUGCGAAGAAGAACCUUGUGUGUACAAAAGGUUAGUGGGUUAUAUUCUUAGUGUUGUAUGUUGAUGAUAUACUGCUCAUAGGGGAUGACAUACCCGCAUUGCAAAGUACCAAGAUUUGGCUGUCUGAACAGCUCUCCAUGAAAGACUUGGGAGAAUCAGCUUAUAUAUUAGGAAUAAAGAUCUAUAAAUAUAGAUCUAGGAAGCUUCUUGGACUUUCCUAGUCUUUGUACAUUGAUACAAUCUUAAAGAGGUAUAAUAUGGACAAUUCCAAAAGAGGCUAUCUACCGAUAGGCACUGAAAUUUCUCUCAGUAGGGAGGAUUGUCCUAAAACACCUUGAAGAGAGAGAACGCAUUAGUAGGAUCCCAUACGCUAGUGCAGUGGGAGCUAUCAUGUACACCAUGACAUGUACACGUCCUGAUGUGGCUUAUGCACUUGGAGUGCCUAGCCGAUAUCAAGCAAAUCCUGGCGAGGAGCAUUGGAAGGUGGUGAAGACCAUUCUUAAGUACUUAAGAAGGACUAAAGACCAAUUCCUCAUCUAUAAGGAUUUGAAACUUGAAGGUUAUACUGAUGCAAGUUUCUCUUCAGGUAGAGAUGAUAGCAAAUCUAUUUCUGGUUAUGCAUUCGCCUUAAAUGAUGGUGCGGUGAGUUGGAAACGUUCCAAACAAGCUACAGUAGUUGAUUCAGUGACAAAAGCAGAAUAUAUAGCAGCUAGUGAGGCUGCUAAGGAAGCUGUAUGGAUGAAAAAGUUCUUAACUGAACUUGGUGUGGUUCCUUCAAUAGAAGGUGCGGUUCCAUUAUUGUGUGACAAUACUGGAGGAAAAAGUUCUUAACUGAACUUGGUGUGGUUCCUACAAUAGAAGGUGUGGUUUCACUGUUGUGUGACAAUAGUGGAGCCAUUGCUCAAGCAAAAGAACCAAGAUCACUCAAAAAUCCAAACACGUUCUGCGAAGGUAUCACUUGAUAAGUGAGAUCACUAAACGUGAAGACGUCGAGAAUCAAAAGGUUGAUGGGAAGAAUAAUGUUGCAAACCCAUUCACUAAAUCACUUGGAGCAAAGGAGUUUGCCAAGCACAAGUGAAAAUUGGGAAUUAAGUGCAAGAGCUAUUGGCUCUAAUGCAAGUGGGAGAUUGUUAGAGAUAUAGUAAAUAUGCUCUAGAUCUAAUAUCAUAAUUGAUAAUUUAAACAUAGUUUUGUGAACGUUAUUUGAUAAAAAAAUAUAUGGAAUAUGAUAUUCUUUUAUCAUAGUUAUUAUUAAUUCUUUGAAUGAUUUGAUAAAGUUCUUGAUUAAAUUUUGAGACUUGACAUUGUGAUAGAGAUCAUGAUAAUGAGAGUAAAGUUUCGUAUAAUUUAAUCAAAAUUUGUUCUUGAUUGUAGGAUUAUUAAUUUGGAAAUUAGUAAUUCGAUUAGAUAAAUAUUUAUGUGAUUAUCUUUAUGGGAUAAAGAUUAGUUGAUGUCAUUAACUAAAUCACAUAGGUAGAUGAUGCAUAUAGAGAUAUGAUCAUUGAACCGACUCAUUGGAUUAGAUAAUUCCUAAUGGUUAGAAUUAUCAUAAACUGUCAAUAGGAUAUUUUCUUAAAAAAUGUGAUGUAAGAAUUUCUUUUGACCUGAGAUCGUCAUAGUAAUUGACAAGUUAUUUAUUGUACUUUAUUACUAGGUACAUAUGGCCCUAGGGUGAUAGUUGAAAGGAUAUUGGGUACGAUUGAAUACUUGUAGAAUUAGUGAUUGAUAAAGAUGGAAUUUGUCAACCUUGGUAAUGAGUUUAAGCUCUAUGUUGUCAUGAAUAUAAACGAUAUCAGGAAAAUUGAAUGAAAGAAGAAACAAAUUUCUUAGGUCAUUCAAUGGUCGAUUAUACUUGACAUGAACAUAUAGUUGGUCGCCUAUUAGUAUUUGACAGUUGAACCAUAUCCUAGGAUGAUCCAAAGCUAUAAGGACAGAAGGAAUUAGUACAUUAUUCUUCUACUUGUUCUUGAGAGUAAAUUGUAUUCUUCAUGUUAUCCGGUAGUUAAGGAGUGUUGCUAGACGCCACCCUUGAUUAGUAUAUUGAUGUGAUCAAUUUACUACCGAUUUAGUAUUGAACCUAUAGGGUGGUGCGCUUACGAGUGUUCUGAUCUUUAGCUUAUUUUUUGAUAAUUAGAUUAAUGAAUUUAAUUAGUCAAAUAAAUUUAGUUAUUAGUCCAAACGAAAUAUUAUUAUAUUUUUUGCUAACACAGUGGGUAUGAUUAAUAUUGUGAACAAAUUGAACUUUUUUAUUUGAAAUAGUACAUUAAAUUAUAUCUCUUGGUUGAAAUAAAAAAAAAUUCAUAAUAAAUAUAUUAUUAUUUGUAUAAGUAAUGUAUAUAAAAUAUUAAUUAAUAUUGAAGUCUAAUUUGGAAUUGGAAAGCAACAGUAACGUGAUAACCAAUUUUGGAAUGGUUUGUUUUUUUCCUAUAGAAAUAUCAAUAAGGACCUAUUUGUUAAAUCCAACUUAGAAUUGGAUUAACAGAAAAAUCCAUAAUUCACGUAGGACUUUAAGUCCAUGUAGAAGUCGGGGCAGACUCAAACCCAUUAAGAAUGGUUUGUCGAUUCCGCAUUCUGCCUUAAAAUUUUCCAUAAAAGUUUAAUUUUGGAAUUAGAUUUUUACCCAAUAAAUUAUUAUCUCAACUAAAUAUAAAUAAGGUUUAUAGGUAAUGCUAUAUAAAGAGCGAAGGAACAAAAAUUACAUAAUUUUUUUGAGAAGAAAACACACUUUGUAAAAGUGAGAUUAUAAUACAAAGCCAAGAGAGAAAAUACAAUUACAAAAAAAAGUGAUUCUUGUUCUUCUAAUUUGAGUUGAAAUUUUUCAAAAAUUUCAGCAUAAUUUUCUCGUUCAAUUUGUUCGCGGGUUUCAUUGAUCAAAGAGUUGAUAACAAGAAUCGGUCUCGGUGUGGAUAUGCAUAGAGUCUUUGCACUAUCAACGAAAUUUUGAAAGAGACUCUCUUUCCCAGGUACGUCUUAGAUCCGAUCUUUGACAUGUAAAUAAAUUUUAAACACAAAAAAUCUUCCUAGGAUUGUUAGUGUGUUACAAACACCUAUACACAAUCCUACGCUUGUACCAUAAGAAUUUAGAAAAUAAUCAGGGAAAAUGAUACCGUAUUGGUACUCUUAAAAUAAUAUUCGAAUAUAUGUAUGUGUGUGUGUGUGUAUAUAUAUAUAUAUAUAUAUAUAUAUAUAUAUAUAUAUAUAUAUAUAUAUGUAUAUUUCUAUAAUUCUAUAUAUUUUAUACAAACAAUAUAUAACUUUUAUAUACUUUUUCAGCUGAAAAAUAUAAAUAGUUUCGAUCGAGAGCUAAAAGCCUGAAAGUGAUCUUUAACAUAUUUAUCUCACAUUUGAACUCCGUCACACUAAGAAACUUCUAAAGAUAGUUUAAACAAUUAUUAUUAUUAUUAUUAUUAUUAUUAUUAUUAUUAUUAUUAUUAUUAUUAUUAUUAGUAUUUUUGUCAUUUAAGUAUUUGAUAAAUGUCAGAAGUGCUUAAGUCAAAAUUAUGAAGAUAUUUCAGCUUAUCAACACCUUCGGUUUGACUAGACCUUUUACUAUGUUAUUAUUAAUAUUUGUUAUCGACUCUGAAAUCGCAAAACAAAACUCCUAACAUUCUUUCCAUCCUAUUUUCCCUAUUCAACUAUUUUAAUGUAAUUAUUUUAAAUCUAUACCUUUAAAAUAAUUUAAGUGCAUUUCGAGUCUAGUGUGAUUUACAACAUUACUAUCUUACUCUCUCAUCAUUUCUACAAACUUCCAUUUGUUUCAUUCAACUAGUCGACAUAAAAUGGUAAAGAAAUUGCUGUUCGUGUUAUUCAAAGAGUCAAAAACUUAUUGGAUGCGUUAGACCCUACUGCUGCUAGAAAUUCAGAUAAAAAUAGACUUCGGUCGGUCGAAAAUCAACUUAAAAAUCGAUCCAAGUCAAACGAUUUUUUAACAUGUUUUCUUUUUUAAUUUUUUUAAGAACCAAAAUGAGAAAAAUCAUUUCUUCGUCCUGAAAAGUUUAUUUCUCAAGAAACCAAUCAACUUCGUUUGAUUUUUUAUUUGAAAUAAAUUAAAAUUUAUUGUGACGAUCCGACCAUUCGUUUCAUGAGUUUCCUCAUUUCUGCUUCUUAUUGUUUUGUCUAUCGAUUCUAUAUGUGAUCGGGUUGGUUGGCUUGGGUUCGGAAAGGAUUUGUUAAGGUUUGAGACACUUAGUCUCUUUUGAGGAAGUUUAAGUUGAAAAACUCAACCGGAUGUUGACUUAUGUAUUAGAGGGAUCGGAUGUGAGUUCCAAUGGUUCAGAGAGCUCUGGGAGGUGAUUUGGGACUUAGAUCAACCAGAUGUUAACUUAUGUGUUAGAGGGAUCGAAUGUGAGUCCGAUGAUUCGGAUAGCUUUGGGAGGUGAUUUGAGAUUUAGAGGUGUGAUAGGAAUAUGUUUUGGUGGUCUAGAGUAGAUUAGGCUUGAAUUGGCGUAAUUGGAUUUUUGGCGUUUUCCGGCUGUUAGGUGAGAUUUUUAUAUAGGGAUCGGAAUGGAAUUCCGAGAGUUACAGUAGUUCCGUUACGUCAUUUGGGAUGUGUGUAUAAAAUUUUAGGUCAUUCGGAUAUGGUUUGAUUGGCUUUUUUAUCAAAAACGUAAUUCGGAAGAUUUUUAAAAACUUAGGCUUGAAUAUGAUGAGUUUUGGUUGAUUCGAUGUUGUUUGAGGUUUUCUGAAGAUUGAUAUAAGUUUGAAUAAGGUUAUGGGAUAUGUUUGUGUUUUUGGUUGAGGUCCCCGGGGCCUCGGGGUGAUUUCGGAUGGUUGACGGAGAAGAUUGAAAUUUUGGUGAAGUUGUAGAUAUUUUGCUUCUGGUGUUUCCGCACCUGCGCAGUGGGGACCACAGAAGCGAUGCCGUAGAAGCGAAAGAAGGUAAGGGAGGCAGAAACUGCAGAAGCGGUUGGAGAACCGCAUUGCGCAGGUGCGAAUGGUGAAUCGCAGAUGCGAAAAUGAGGACUUAAGUAAGGACCGGAGAAGCGGUUGGUUUACCGCAAAUGGGGUACCGUAGAAGCGGGAUUUUUGCCGCAGAUGCGCAAUCCCUAGGUCAGAAGGUAUAAAUUGUUUCCUUCGCGAUUUUUGAGCUAUUCCACCAUUUCUAAGUUGGCUUUGGAGAUUUUUGGACGAUUGUGAAGAAUGAUUUCAAGGAAACGUCAUUGAGGCAAGAAUUUUGGACCUAAAACUCAUUCAUAUGGUAUUAUUUAAUGGUUUAAAGCUAUAAUUAAUGGAAUUUAAGGGUUAAAAUUGGGGAAACUAGGGCUUGGUAUUGUAGACUUAGACUUAAGUAUUUAAGGAACCAUUUGUUGUUGGAUUUUGGUAUUUUUGAUACGUGUGAACUCAUGAGGAGAUAAGGAAUCUAAUUAUGUGAAUUUUAUCGAAUUCCAACACGUGGACCCGGGGGUUAGGUUUUGGUAAUUUCGGAAUUUGUGUUGUAAAUUGAUUAUUUUCGCUUGGGCUUCGUUUCCUUAGCAUAUUUUAACAUUGUGAUUCUGAUUUUGGAUAGAUUCGACGUGAGUGGAGGCCGAUUCGAGCGGCAAAGGUAUCGCGGGUUAGAGUUUGGAUCGGAUUGAGGUGAGUAAUGAUUUUAAAUGAUAUCCUGGGGGUAUGAAACCCUAGAUUUCACCUCGUUGUGCUAUAUUGAGGUGACGCACAUGCUAGAUGACGAGUGUGAGGUCGUGCACUGUUGGGGAUUGUGACUUAGUCCAUCCCAAAUGACUAUUUUACCGCGUACUUGACUGAAAACUAUUUUCUAUCAUCAUGUUUUGAGCUGAAUGCCAUAUGUGGCCCUCGUGCCAACUAUUUGAACCCUUAGCAGAAUUUUAUUGAUAUCUCUUCACUGUUUUGACUUUAUACUUGAACUCAAUCAUGCAGUAUUCUACUGCUUUUCACAACUCACCCAUGCUUACUCUUCUUUAAAACUUAAAUGAUAUUUUUGGUUGAGCACUAUAUUUUACUGUUGUCCGAGUGGCUGUGAAAUUCUGACUGAGUAAGGACGAGAGCCUGAGAUGUGUAUGCCACGAGGUGGCUUGUUGAUAUAAGGUCGAGGGCCUAGUUUGAUGCAACGAGAUGGCUUGAUAUUUCUCUUGGGCCAUGAGGGGCUCCUUCAGGAGUCUACACACCCUCAGUGAGUGUGGGUACCUAUUGUGAUGUGUGAUAUAGUCCAAGGGGCUAGUAUUGUUUCUAAGAUAUUUCCCGAGGGGGGGGGGGGUUGUGUACAUUGUGCCCGAAAGGCGAACCUUUAUCUAUAUAUCUUUACUACUUCACUAUUUUACUGGCUUUUACUGCUUCGUUAUAGCCUAUAAUGUGCCUAACGUGAUUUCAUAUUUCUCAGUCUUUAUUUAUAAUUAUUACUCACUGGGUUGGAGCACUCACUUUACUCCCUGCACCCCGUGUGCAGAUUCAGGCGUUGCUGAUCCCCUACGAGAGUUGAGAGCUCCUUGCAGACUUUGGAGUUCAUGAGGUAGCUGCUUGGCGUCCGCAGUGUUUCUCCCCUUUAUCUCAUUUCUUGUUCCUUAGUAGUUACUUUGUAAUAGCUUGUAGACUUUUCAGACUUGUAUUAAAAUUAAUAGAUGCUCAUGACUAGUGACACCCGGGUAUUGAGUUGUGUUGGGUUUUAUUUGUGCAAACUUUAAUGUUCAUUGCUUACUUUUGGAUUAUUUAUUAUAUUUUAGACUUAACUCUUAUUGUUUAAUUGUUUAAAAACUGAAAAUGGGAACGUAUUGACUGGUCAUGUCUUUACGAGAGGAGCCAUCACGAUCGGAUCCGUGUUUAGGGUUAUGACAAGUUGGUAUCAGAACCAAGGUUACAUAGGUCUCACGAGUCAUGAGCAAGUAUAGUAAAGUCUCGGGCACUGGUACGAAGACGUCUGUAUUUAUCCUCGAGAGGCUGUAGAACCUUUAGGAAAAACUUCAUAUUCUUGAAAUUUUUAUCGUGCGAAUUUGUCGAUUCGAGUACUAAACUUCUGUUAUUCUAUCUCUCAUAGAUGGUGAAGAUACGCGCGACCAGUAAGGAUAGACGUCCACUAAUACUACCAGUUGUGGCCACUAAAGGCCGAGGACGCGGUCGUGGUCGCGGUAGGGGCAGAGGUAUGGCCUGCAUAGCAGCUAAAGCAGCACCUGCAGGUCCACCAGCCGCCCCAGUUCAGGAUGAGGUCCCAGGUAUGGACGCUCCAGCACCACCAGCUAUGCAAUGGUGAUCCUGGGUCUUCACGAGGCCUUCGCUCAGAUCCUGUCAGUUUACACUAGCUUAGCUCAGGCGGUCUCAGCUACUACAGUCGCAACUACUUCUCAGGCCGGGGGAGGCAAUCAGACUCUCAUUGCUCGCACACCUGAGAAGGUCGUGCAGGGACUUCAGACGAUGGGGGCAUAUCCAGCCAGCCAGUUGUAGCUAUUCAGGACUCUGUAGGUUCUUCCAUGCAAGAGCAUGAGCAGCGUAGGUUGGAGAUAUUUGGUAGACUUCAACCUCUGACCUUUAGUGGUGCAGAUGACGAGGAUGCCUAGGGUUUCUUGGAUAAGUGUCAGAGGAUACUUCGAACAGCGGGUACUCUGCUAACCAGUAGGGUCUCUUUCAUUACUUAUCAGUUUUAUAUAGUUGCCUUCACUUGGUGGGAGUCUUUUGAGAGGUGUAGGCCUGUUGGUGCAGCACCCCUUAACUGGCAGCAAUUCUCCGUUCUUUUCUUGGAGAAGUAUGUGUCGCAAUCUCGCAAAGAGGAACUGCAUAGGCAGUUUGAGUGGUUGCGUCAGGGAGAGAUGAUUGUGACGCAAUAUGAGAUGAUGUUCUCUAAGUUAGCUCGUCAUGAUAUUUGGUUGGUUCCGACAGAUAGAGAAAGAAUUAGGAGGUUUGUUGAGGAUUAGGAUGUUUGUUGAUGACCUCCUUGCACGUUCAUCACUUUGUAUGUGCAUCAUCUCAUUAAUAAUCACAUAACACGUAGUUCGGAAUUUUGAACCCUCAAAACUAAGUUUCAAAGUGUUACUUACCUCAAACCAGCAAACUCCUAUUCUGUAAUGUUUUUGCCUCUCAACUCAACCUCCGAACGUCCUGAAUCUAGCCACAAGCAAUACAAUACGAUUAAUAUAUAUUAAAUAAAUUAAUUCCAUAAGAAAAAUAUCAAAUUCAUAGCCAAAAUCAAAAAUCGGCUCAAAUCCAACCCUCGAACUUACGUCUCAAAAUUCAACAAAAAUUACAAAAUCUAAAAAUCCAUUCACUAUGAAAAGAUCAUUUUGAUGAAAUCGAAAGAGAGAAAGAUGAUACGAAGUACGGUCAUUAUAAGUUCAAGUAUAG
This 11265-nucleotide long non-coding RNA is filed under the name Nicotiana benthamiana. RNAcentral's name for it is "long non-coding RNA (NBEN_LNC009705)". Lineage: Eukaryota; Viridiplantae; Streptophyta; Magnoliopsida; Solanales; Solanaceae. The record is from RNAcentral.